GACGAACGCUGGCGGCGUGCCUAAUACAUGCCAGUUGAGCGCUGAAGGUUGGUACUUGUACCAACUGGAUGAGCAGCGAACGGGUGAGUAACGCGUGGGGAAUCUGCCUUUGAGCGGGGGACAACAUUUGGAAACGAAUGCUAAUACCGCAUAAAAACUUUAAACACAAGUUUUAAGUUUGAAAGAUGCAAUUGCAUCACUCAAAGAUGAUCCCGCGUUGUAUUAGCUAGUUGGUGAGGUAAAGGCUCACCAAGGCGAUGAUACAUAGCCGACCUGAGAGGGUGAUCGGCCACAUUGGGACUGAGACACGGCCCAAACUCCUACGGGAGGCAGCAGUAGGGAAUCUUCGGCAAUGGACGAAAGUCUGACCGAGCAACGCCGCGUGAGUGAAGAAGGGUUUCGGAUCGUAAAACUCUGUUGGUAGAGAAGAACGUUGGUGAGAGUGGAAAGCUCAUCAAGUGACGGUAACUACACAGAAAGGGACGGCUAACCACGUG
This 497-nucleotide ribosomal RNA is filed under the name uncultured bacterium. RNAcentral's name for it is "partial 16S ribosomal RNA". It matches the Rfam family "Bacterial small subunit ribosomal RNA", at positions 28 to 507 of the family's 1533-position model. The record is from RNAcentral.